Molecule: ribosomal RNA, 490 nt
Filed under: uncultured bacterium
Lineage: Bacteria
Description: bacterial SSU rRNA
Rfam family: Bacterial small subunit ribosomal RNA
Source: RNAcentral
CAUGGCUCAGAUUGAAUGCUGGCGGCAUGGCUAAAACAUGCAAGUCGAACGUGCCCGCAAGGGCAAGUGGCGAAAGGGUCAGUAACGCGAUCGAACGUACCCCGAGGUGGAGGAUAGCGCUGGGAAACUGGCGGUAACACUCCAUGUCCUCGCAAGAGAAAAGGUUUACCGCCUUGGGAGCGGCGAUCGUCCUAUCAGGUAGUUGGCGGGGUAAAGGCCCACCAAGCCUAAGACGGGUAGCGGGUGUGAGAGCACGGCCCGCGACAUCGGAACUGAGACACUGUCCGGACUCCUACGGGAGGCUGCAGUAACGAAUCUUCCGCAAUGGGCGAAAGCCUGACGGAGCAAUGCCGCGUGUGGGAUGAAGCAUCUCUGGUGUGUAAACCACUGUCAGGGGACGGAACCAAUGAUUGUCCCAGAGGAAGUGGCGACUAACUCUGUGCCAGCAGUCGCGGUAAUACAGAGGCCACAAGCAUUAGUCGGAAUCACU